This 492-nucleotide ribosomal RNA is filed under the name uncultured bacterium. Its description in RNAcentral is "bacterial SSU rRNA". It matches the Rfam family "Bacterial small subunit ribosomal RNA", at positions 17 to 518 of the family's 1533-position model. The record is from RNAcentral.
UUAUGGCUCAGGAUGAACGCUGGCGGCGUGCUUAACACAUGCAAGUCGAACGGGAUAUACUUUUAGCUUGCUAAGUUGUAUAUCUAGUGGCGGACGGGUGAGUAACGCGUGGGUAACCUGCCGUAUGCUGGGGGACAACAGUUGGAAACGACUGCUAAUACCGCAUAAGCGCACGAGAUCGCAUGAUCCUGUGUGAAAAAACUCCGGUGGCAUACGAUGGACCCGCGUCUGAUUAGCCAGUUGGCAGGGUAACGGCCUACCAAAGCGACGAUCAGUAGCCGGCCUGAGAGGGUGAACGGCCACAUUGGGACUGAGACACGGCCCAGACUCCUACGGGAGGCAGCAGUGGGGAAUAUUGCACAAUGGGGGAAACCCUGAUGCAGCGACGCCGCGUGAGUGAAGAAGUAUUUCGGUAUGUAAAGCUCUAUCAGCAGGAAAGAAAAUGACGGUACCUGACUAAGAAGCCCCGGCUAACUACGUGCCAGCCGCGGC